Molecule: ribosomal RNA, 525 nt
Filed under: Akanthomyces lecanii
Lineage: Eukaryota; Fungi; Ascomycota; Sordariomycetes; Hypocreales; Cordycipitaceae
Description: partial large subunit ribosomal RNA
Rfam family: Eukaryotic large subunit ribosomal RNA
Source: RNAcentral
AAGCGGCAACAGCUCAAAUUUGAAAUCUUGGCCCUUGGGUCCGAGUUGUAAUUUGUAUAGGAUGCUUUUGGCGAGGUGCCUUCCGAGUUCCCUGGAACGGGACGCCAUAGAGGGUGAGAGCCCCGUCUGGUCGGACACCGAGCCUCUGUAAAGCUCCUUCGACGAGUCGAGUAGUUUGGGAAUGCUGCUCAAAAUGGGAGGUAUAUGUCUUCUAAAGCUAAAUAUUGGCCAGAGACCGAUAGCGCACAAGUAGAGUGAUCGAAAGAUGAAAAGCACUUUGAAAAGAGGGUUAAAAAGUACGUGAAAUUGUUGAAAGGGAAGCGCCUAUGACCAGACUUGGGCCCGGUGAAUCAUCCAGCGUUCUCGCUGGUGCACUUUGCCGGGCACAGGCCAGCAUCAGUUUGGCGCGGGGGAAAAAGGCUUUGGGAAUGUGGCUCCCUCGGGAGUGUUAUAGCCCAUUGUGUAAUACCCUGCGCCGGACUGAGGUACGCGCAUUGCAAGGAUGCUGGCGUAAUGGUCAUCAGC